CUCACCAUCCUUUUCAAUUUCAUCAUGGGCCAGAUCCUUAUUCUCUUCAUUUUUCUCGCUUACUGCUCAGGUGUCGCUUCACAGCCGACAUUGACUCAGGCAGCCUCCAAGUCUGUCUCCCUGGGCCAAGCAAUUAAACUUGCCUGUUCUAAAAGUAGCAGUGGAAACUGGGGCAGCUUUCAUUGGUAUCAACAGAAACCUGGACAGGCUCCUCGAUUUGUGUGGUAUGGCUCCAGCACCAGGGGAGACGGAAUUCCAGAUCGGUUCACUGGUUCUUCCUCUGGGAACACCGGCUAUUUAACCAUCACCAACAUCCAGGCUGAAUACGAGGCCGUUUAUUACUGUGGUGCCUGGGAGUACACUGGUGAUAGCAAGUUCCACAGUGGUGCAAUCUGA
Zootoca vivipara (common lizard) is the source of this 396-nucleotide non-coding RNA. The record is from the annotation of a RefSeq genome assembly. NCBI's taxonomy places the organism in Eukaryota, Metazoa, Chordata, Lepidosauria, Squamata, Lacertidae.